Molecule: ribosomal RNA, 397 nt
Filed under: uncultured bacterium
Lineage: Bacteria
Description: partial 16S ribosomal RNA
Rfam family: Bacterial small subunit ribosomal RNA
Source: RNAcentral
AUACGUAGGGGGCGAGCGUUGUCCGGAAUGAUUGGGCGUAAAGGGCGCGUAGGCGGCCCGGUAAGUCUGGAGUGAAAGUCCUGUUUUUAAGAUGGGAAUUGCUUUGGAUACUGUCGGGCUUGAGUGCAGGAGAGGUAAGUGGAAUUCCCAGUGUAGCGGUGAAAUGCGUAGAGAUUGGGAGGAACACCAGUGGCGAAGGCGACUUACUGGACUGUAACUGACGCUGAGUCGCGAAAGUGUGGGGAGCAAACAGGAUUAGAUACCCUGGUAGCCCACGCCGUAAACGAUGAAUACUAGGUGUAGGGGGUAUCGACUCCCUCUGUGCCGCAGUUAACACAAUAAGUAUUCCGCCUGGGGAGUACGGCCGCAAGGUUGAAACUCAAAUGAAUUGACGGGG